This 1451-nucleotide ribosomal RNA is filed under the name uncultured organism. Its description in RNAcentral is "SSU rRNA". It matches the Rfam family "Bacterial small subunit ribosomal RNA". The record is from RNAcentral.
UGGCUCAGGAUGAACGCUAGCUACAGGCUUAACACAUGCAAGUCGAGGGGCAGCAUUUUAGUUUGCUUGCAAACUAAAGAUGGCGACCGGCGCACGGGUGAGUAACACGUAUCCAACCUGCCGAUAACUCGGGGAUAGCCUUUCGAAAGAAAGAUUAAUAUCCGAUAGUAUAUUAAAACCGCAUGGUUUUACUAUUAAAGAAUUUCGGUUAUCGAUGGGGAUGCGUUCCAUUAGUUUGUUGGCGGGGUAACGGCCCACCAAGACAACGAUGGAUAGGGGUUCUGAGAGGAAGGUCCCCCACAUUGGAACUGAGACACGGUCCAAACUCCUACGGGAGGCAGCAGUGAGGAAUAUUGGUCAAUGGACGAGAGUCUGAACCAGCCAAGUAGCGUGAAGGAUGACUGCCCUAUGGGUUGUAAACUUCUUUUAUAUGGGAAUAAAGUAUUCCACGUGUGGGAUUUUGUAUGUACCAUAUGAAUAAGGAUCGGCUAACUCCGUGCCAGCAGCCGCGGUAAUACGGAGGAUCCGAGCGUUAUCCGGAUUUAUUGGGUUUAAAGGGAGCGUAGGUGGAUUGUUAAGUCAGUUGUGAAAGUUUGCGGCUCAACCGUAAAAUUGCAGUUGAAACUGGCAGUCUUGAGUACAGUAGAGGUGGGCGGAAUUCGUGGUGUAGCGGUGAAAUGCUUAGAUAUCACGAAGAACUCCGAUUGCGAAGGCAGCUCACUAGACUGCAACUGACACUGAUGCUCGAAAGUGUGGGUAUCAAACAGGAUUAGAUACCCUGGUAGUCCACACAGUAAACGAUGAAUACUCGCUGUUUGCGAUAUACAGUAAGCGGCCAAGCGAAAGCAUUAAGUAUUCCACCAGGGGAGUACGCCGGCAACGGUGAAACUCAAAGGAAUUGACGGGGGCCCGCACAAGCGGAGGAACAUGUGGUUUAAUUCGAUGAUACGCGAGGAACCUUACCCGGGCUUAAAUUGCAUUUGAAUAAUCUGGAAACAGGUUAGCCGCAAGGCAAAUGUGAAGGUGCUGCAUGGUUGUCGUCAGCUCGUGCCGUGAGGUGUCGGCUUAAGUGCCAUAACGAGCGCAACCCUUAUCUUUAGUUACUAACAGGUCAUGCUGAGGACUCUAGAGAGACUGCCGUCGUAAGACGUGAGGAAGGUGGGGAUGACGUCAAAUCAGCACGGCCCUUACGUCCGGGGCUACACACGUGUUACAAUGGGGGGUACAGAAGGCAGCUACCUGGCGACAGGAUGCUAAUCCCAAAAACCUCUCUCAGUUCGGAUCGAAGUCUGCAACCCGACUUCGUGAAGCUGGAUUCGCUAGUAAUCGCGCAUCAGCCAUGGCGCGGUGAAUACGUUCCCGGGCCUUGUACACACCGCCCGUCAAGCCAUGAAAGCCGGGGGUACCUGAAGUACGUAACCGCAAGGAGCGUCCUAGGGUAAAACUGGUAA